GUGGCUGGAUUGCUUUGAACUGUUUGGGUGUUUGCAUAGCGUGAUUGAUUUCAGAGAUAUUGCUAUGGUAUAAAAUGGCUGAGUGGGUGCUUAUGCUCUUGAUGAGAUUUGCUUGACGUCUGUUGUCUUGCUUGGCUGCUGGUAUCCAUAGAUUGAGACUCAUCACUCAUUCAUUCCCUCAUUCACUUCACUUCAGCCUCUCUCGCCUCUCUUGCCGUCGACUCGGCAGCGCCUCCAUUUCGCAGUCGACUCGGCAACGCCUCCACUCGCCGUCAACUCGACUCAGCUUCGAGAACUGGCAUGGGCAGCACCUCGACUUUGUAGCACCUCGUCUCUCUCGCCAUCGACUCGGCAGCGCCUCCACUUCGAC
RNA transcript from Fragaria vesca subsp. vesca, 370 nucleotides. RefSeq lists it as uncharacterized. The record is from RefSeq and is a predicted model, not a curated record. NCBI's taxonomy places the organism in Eukaryota, Viridiplantae, Streptophyta, Magnoliopsida, Rosales, Rosaceae. The transcript is spliced from 2 exons.